GAUGGGAGCUUGCUCCCUGAUGUUAGCGGCGGACGGGUGAGUAACACGUGGGUAACCUGCCUGUAAGACUGGGAUAACUCCGGGAAACCGGGGCUAAUACCGGAUGGUUGUUUGAACCGCAUGGUUCAAACAUAAAAGGUGGCUUCGGCUACCACUUACAGAUGGACCCGCGGCGCAUUAGCUAGUUGGUGAGGUAACGGCUCACCAAGGCAACGAUGCGUAGCCGACCUGAGAGGGUGAUCGGCCACACUGGGACUGAGACACGGCCCAGACUCCUACGGGAGGCAGCAGUAGGGAAUCUUCCGCAAUGGACGAAAGUCUGACGGAGCAACGCCGCGUGAGUGAUGAAGGUUUUCGGAUCGUAAAGCUCUGUUGUUAGGGAAGAACAAGUACCGUUCGAAUAGGGCGGUACCUUGACGGUACCUAACCAGAAAGCCACGGCUAACUACGUGCCAGCAGCCGCGGUAAUACGUAGGUGGCAAGCGUUGUCCGGAAUUAUUGGGCGUAAAGGGCUCGCAGGCGGUUUCUUAAGUCUGAUGUGAAAGCCCCCGGCUCAACCGGGGAGGGUCAUUGGAAACUGGGGAACUUGAGUGCAGAAGAGGAGAGUGGAAUUCCACGUGUAGCGGUGAAAUGCGUAGAGAUGUGGAGGAACACCAGUGGCGAAGGCGACUCUCUGGUCUGUAACUGACGCUGAGGAGCGAAAGCGUGGGGAGCGAACAGGAUUAGAUACCCUGGUAGUCCACGCCGUAAACGAUGAGUGCUAAGUGUUAGG
RNAcentral lists this ribosomal RNA (772 nucleotides) under Bacillus subtilis. Its description in RNAcentral is "bacterial SSU rRNA". It matches the Rfam family "Bacterial small subunit ribosomal RNA", at positions 71 to 827 of the family's 1533-position model. Lineage: Bacteria; Bacillati; Bacillota; Bacilli; Caryophanales; Bacillaceae. The record is from RNAcentral.